GACGGAGGGUGCAAGCGUUGUUCGGAAUUACUGGGCGUAAAGCGUACGUAGGCGGCGGAUUAAGUCGAAUGUUAAAGCCUGGGGCUCAACCCCAGAGAUGCACUCGAUACUGGUCUGCUAGAGGGUGAUAGAGGAAAGUGGAAUUCCCAGUGUAGCGGUGAAAUGCGUAGAUAUUGGGAGGAACAUCAGUAGCGAAGGCGACUUUCUGGGUCACACCUGACGCUGAGGUACGAAAGCGUGGGGAGCAAACGGG
This 253-nucleotide ribosomal RNA is filed under the name uncultured bacterium. Its description in RNAcentral is "partial 16S ribosomal RNA". It matches the Rfam family "Bacterial small subunit ribosomal RNA", at positions 524 to 776 of the family's 1533-position model. The record is from RNAcentral. RNAcentral also lists the same sequence under 1 other name.